RNAcentral lists this transfer RNA (71 nucleotides) under Pseudozyma flocculosa. It matches the Rfam family "tRNA". Rfam says of the family: Transfer RNA (tRNA) molecules are approximately 80 nucleotides in length. Their secondary structure includes four short double-helical elements and three loops (D, anti-codon, and T loops). The record is from Rfam by way of RNAcentral. Lineage: Eukaryota; Fungi; Basidiomycota; Ustilaginomycetes; Ustilaginales; Ustilaginaceae.
GGUACUAUACAUAGUGGUAAUGUGGCGUACUGUUAAUACGUUCAUCGAAAGUUCGAUUCUUUCUAGUACCU